This 1014-nucleotide long non-coding RNA is filed under the name Malus domestica (apple). RNAcentral describes it as "long non-coding RNA (MDOM_LNC010181)". Lineage: Eukaryota; Viridiplantae; Streptophyta; Magnoliopsida; Rosales; Rosaceae. The record is from RNAcentral.
GGCGCUCAUAAAUGCGUUCAAGCUGCUCUCCACCGCCAUCAUCCUAAAAAUAGGUAAAACAAGUCAUAAGAAAUGCUUACAAAGGUAGGAAGUUGCGUAAAACAAAAGCACUAUUACAAUUCCAUUACUGGAUCCUAUCCUCUAAUGGGUUGAAGCGAUGACUCUAUCCUCUCUAACGAGUUGAAGCAAUGACUGUAUGAUCUAUGAUACACAAUGAAUAAAAGCAUCUAGACUUCUGCGAAUAGGUUACUGGAGCGUACUAGUGACGUUAUUAACCCGGAAAGUUUACAAAACCCUUGUACCAUUACGCUAAGAAACUAUAACACUAUGUUUGUAUCAAGAAAUUUAAGAUUACUAAGAAAUUUUAAAAUCACGGUAAUUGAAAUGACGAGAUUUUAUUUUCUAAAAUUUGUGAAUUUUCUUGUUUGGUUAACCUAAAAGAAUAAUGGAAUUGAAUACAGAAUUUGUUAUUUUUAAACUCUCAAUCAUAGAAAUUUGGAAAUGACACCUAUUUACAUGGUAUUUAAACUUGGGAAUUGGAUGUUCCAAAUUCCAAGUUUUUUUCCAUGCGGAAAUUCUAAAUUUCUAUGUUUAUGAAUCCAAACAAAGGAAUUGGUGCAUGUCAAUUUAUAAAUUCUGACCUUUAUCCAAAUUCCAAGUUUAUUUCCUUCAUCCAAACAUAGUGUAGGGUCAUUUAAAGAGGAUUUUCAUACCGAAUUAUGCAAACUUGUUAGUUUUUACCCUUAAAUUUAUUCACAUUAAUUUAUAACGACUAACCAAACUCUGGUUAUGUACUUUGAUUACCAAAGAGCAAAGUAAUACAAAAUCUAACAUUUAAUUUACUACAGCAUACCUGAGCUGCCAGUUCUUCAACUUCUUUCUCCAACUUUAUCCUCUCCUCAUCGCAGCUAAUGACAGCCUCAAGUGAAGACAUGUCUGAAGCUUCAAUUUCCCUGCUGAGAUGAUAGAUAUCCAUGUGAUCCGGAAUUGGAAGCUCUCGGAGCCCUAUGGCAG